GAUGAAGAACGUAGUGAAAUGCGAUACGUAGUGUGAAUUGCAGAAUUCAGUGAAUCAUCGAAUCUUUGAACGCACAUUGCACCUCUCGGUAUUCCGGGAGGUAUGCCUGUUCGAGCGUCAUUUGUACCCUCAAGCUCUGCUUGGUGUUGGGUGUUUGUUCCGCCUCUGUGUGUGAACUCGCCUCAAACAAUUGGCAGCCGGCGUACUUGUUUCGGAGCGCAGCACAUUUUGCGAUCCAGAUCAACGUACAGCGGCAUCCAAGAAGCCUUAUUUAACGCUCUUGACCUCGGAUCAGGUAGGGAUACCCGCUGAACUUAAGCAUAUCAAUAAGCGGAGGA
This 338-nucleotide unclassified non-coding RNA is filed under the name soil metagenome. RNAcentral describes it as "partial contains 5.8S ribosomal RNA, internal transcribed spacer 2, and large subunit ribosomal RNA". The stretch from base 1 to 120 matches the Rfam family "5.8S ribosomal RNA", at positions 35 to 154 of the family's 154-position model. The record is from RNAcentral.